RNAcentral lists this ribosomal RNA (716 nucleotides) under Ovealmbornia volkmarwirthii. Its description in RNAcentral is "eukaryotic LSU rRNA". It matches the Rfam family "Eukaryotic large subunit ribosomal RNA", at positions 165 to 897 of the family's 3401-position model. Lineage: Eukaryota; Fungi; Ascomycota; Lecanoromycetes; Teloschistales; Teloschistaceae. The record is from RNAcentral.
CNGGCGACGUGCCGGUCCAAGUCCCUUGGAACGGGGCGUCACAGAGGGUGAGAAUCCCGUAUGUGACCGGUGACGGAGCCCGUGUGAAACCCCUUCGACGAGUCGAGUUGUUUGGGAAUGCAGCUCAAAACGGGUGGUAAAUUUCAUCUAAAGCUAAAUACCGGCCAGAGACCGAUAGCGCACAAGUAGAGUGAUCGAAAGAUGAAAAGCACUUUGGAAAGAGAGUCAAAAAGUACGUGAAAUUGUUGAAAGGGAAGCGCUUGCGACCAGACCUGCCCGCGGGCGAUCAGCCGUCCUUCUGGGCGGUGCACUCGCCCGCGAUCAGGCCAGCAUCGGUUCGGGCGGCCGGAUAAAGGCCCCGGGAACGUAGCUCCCUUCGGGGAGUGUUAUAGCCCGGGGCUCCAUGCGGCCUGCCCGGACCGAGGACCGCGCUUCGGCUAGGAUGCUGGCGUAAUGGUCNUAAGCGGCCCGUCUUGAAACACGGACCAAGGAGUCGACCAACUAUGCGAGUGUUUGGGCGUCAAACCCACACGCGCAAUGAAAGUGAACGGAGGUGGGAACCCCUCGCGGGGCGCACCAUCGACCGAUCCAGAUGUCUUCGGAUGGAUUUGAGUACGAGCAUAGCUGGUCGGACCCGAAAGAUGGUGAACUAUGCCUGAAUAGGGUGAAGCCAGAGGAAACUCUGGUGGAGGCUCGCAGCGGUUCUGACGUGCAAA